AGUAGCUGGUCUGAGAGGACGACCAGCCACACUGGAACUGAGACACGGUCCAGACUCCUACGGGAGGCAGCAGUGGGGAAUUUUGGACAAUGGGCGCAAGCCUGAUCCAGCCAUUCCGCGUGAGUGAAGAAGGCCUUCGGGUUGUAAAGCUCUUUCGCAAGGGAAGAAAACUUAGCCACUAACAUUGGCUGAGGUUGACGGUACCUUGAUAAGAAGCACCGGCUAACUACGUGCCAGCAGCCGCGGUAAUACGUAGGGUGCGAGCGUUAAUCGGAAUUACUGGGCGUAAAGCGUGCGCAGGCGGUUUUGUAAGUCAGAUGUGAAAUCCCCGAGCUCAACUUGGGAACUGCGUUUGAAACUACAAGACUAGAAUAUGUCAGAGGGGGGUAGAAUUCCACGUGUAGCAGUGAAAUGCGUAGAGAUGUGGAGGAAUACCAAUGGCGAAGGCAGCCCCCUGGGAUAAUAUUGACGCUCAUGCACGAAAGCGUGGGGAGCAAACAGGAUUAGAUACCCUGGUAGUCCACGCCCUAAACGAUGUCUACUAGUUGUUGGUGGAGUAAAAUCCAUGAGUAACGCAGCUA
RNAcentral lists this ribosomal RNA (581 nucleotides) under uncultured beta proteobacterium. Its description in RNAcentral is "bacterial SSU rRNA". It matches the Rfam family "Bacterial small subunit ribosomal RNA", at positions 282 to 854 of the family's 1533-position model. Lineage: Bacteria; Pseudomonadati; Pseudomonadota; Betaproteobacteria. The record is from RNAcentral.